This 315-nucleotide ribosomal RNA is filed under the name uncultured eukaryote. Its description in RNAcentral is "partial 18S ribosomal RNA". It matches the Rfam family "Eukaryotic small subunit ribosomal RNA", at positions 1470 to 1796 of the family's 1831-position model. The record is from RNAcentral.
CCCUUAGAUGUCCUGGGCCGCACGCGUGCUACACUGACACUUACACCGAGUUUUUCCGGCCCCGAGAGGUGGCUGGUAAUCAGUAAUAGGUGUCGUGAUGGGGAUAGAUCUUUGGAAUUAUUGAUCUUGAACGAGGAAUGCCUAGUAAUCGUAGGUCAUCAGCCUGCGAUGAUUACGUCCCUGCCCUUUGUACACACCGCCCGUCGCUCCUACCGAUUUCGAGUGGUCCGGUGAACCUUUCGGACAGAGAGAGUCUCGUACAAUCUCUGAAAGUCAAGUAAACCACAUCACUUAGAGGAAGGAGAAGUCGUANCA